AGAGUUUGAUCAUGGCUCAGGACGAACGCUGCGGCGUGCUAAUGAAUGCGGGUCGAACGAGAACCAGAUGAGUGCUUGCACAAGUCUGGGGACAGUGGCGAACGGGUGAGUAACACGUAGGUAACCUGCCCCCCAGCCGGGGACAACAGCGGGAAACUGCUGCUAAUCCUCGAUAGUCUAUAAUGGCGCGAGUCAUUGUAGUAAAGGCUUCGGCCACUGAGGGAUGGGCCUGCGGGCCAUUAGCUUGUUGGUGAGGUAACGGCUUACCAAGGCGACGAUGGCUAGCCGGUCUGAGAGGAUGAUCGGCCACACUGGGACUGAGACAUGGUCCAGACUCCUCCGGGAGUUAGCAUCAGGGAACCUUGCGCAAUGGGCGAAAGCCUGACGCAGCGACGCCGCGUGAGGGAAGAAGGUCUGCGGAUCGUAAACCUCUGUCUGGAGGGACGAAUGCCCUGCUCGGCAGGGAGUGACGGUACCUCCGGAGGAAGCCCCGGCUAACUACGUGCCAGCAGCCGCGGUAAUACGUAGGGGGCCGGCGUUGUCCGGAUUUACUGGGCGUAAAGAGCGCGUAGGCGGUUCGGUAAGCGGAGGGUGAAAUACCGGGGCUCAACUCCGGUGCUGCUCUCCGAACUGCUGGACUAGAGUACGGGAGAGGGUAGUGGAAUUCCUGGUGUAGCGGUGGAAUGCGUAAAUAUCAGGAGGAACACCCGUGGCGAAGGCUGCUACCUGGAACGUUACUGACGCUGAGGCGCGAAAGCUAGGGGAGCGAACGGGAUUAGAUACCCCGGUAGUCCUAGCCGUAAACGAUGGACACUAGGUGUUGCCGGCAUCGACCCCGGCAGUGCUGUUCUGCUAACGCGUUAAGUGUCCCGCCUGGGGAGUACGGCCGCAAGGUUGAAACUCAAAGGAAUUGACGG
RNAcentral lists this ribosomal RNA (917 nucleotides) under uncultured bacterium. RNAcentral's name for it is "bacterial SSU rRNA". It matches the Rfam family "Bacterial small subunit ribosomal RNA", at positions 8 to 916 of the family's 1533-position model. The record is from RNAcentral.